GGGGCCCGGAACGGCCCGAAAUCGGCCACGCAAGCCCGCAGCUUGGCUGGAAAUUCUGUUCCCACGCUGUUGAUCUUGCUGAUUUGAUGAAGAGGGGCCUUCAAGCAGCUGAACGGAGCGGCCAAGAGAUCGAGGAACGGUGGCUGAUGGGCUUGGCGAGCGGAGCUGCUGCGGCUGAGUUCUAACGAAACGGGGGUGACGCUGGCGGAGAGGUGCCGCUGGUUUCGGUGGCUUCGCUGGGUUGAUGAAGGAACGAACGCGCGGCUUCGUGGCUGGGUCAACAUAUUCACUGAAGAAGCAACUUCGGUUUCACUAGCUGACCGAAGAUGGCUGCGCCGCGGAUGUGUGGCCAAGGGUUGCAGGGGCUGU
Molecule: long non-coding RNA, 369 nt
Filed under: Eucalyptus grandis
Lineage: Eukaryota; Viridiplantae; Streptophyta; Magnoliopsida; Myrtales; Myrtaceae
Description: long non-coding RNA (EGRA_LNC004461)
Source: RNAcentral